This 253-nucleotide ribosomal RNA is filed under the name uncultured bacterium. RNAcentral's name for it is "partial 16S ribosomal RNA". It matches the Rfam family "Bacterial small subunit ribosomal RNA", at positions 524 to 776 of the family's 1533-position model. The record is from RNAcentral.
UACGUAGGUGGCAAGCGUUAUCCGGAAUUACUGGGCGUAAAGCGUGCGCAGACGGUUGCGUAAGUCAGAUGUGAAAGCCCCGGGCUCAACCUGGGAAUUGCAUUUGAGACUGCGUAGCUAGGGUGCGGAAGAGGGAAGCGGAAUUUCCGGUGUAGCGGUGAAAUGCGUAGAUAUCGGAAGGAACACCAGUGGCGAAAGCGGCUUCCUGGUCCAGCACCGACGUUCAGGCACGAAAGCGUGGGGAGCAAACAGG